Molecule: unclassified non-coding RNA, 285 nt
Organism: Erinaceus europaeus (western European hedgehog)
Lineage: Eukaryota; Metazoa; Chordata; Mammalia; Eulipotyphla; Erinaceidae
Gene: 7SK
Rfam family: 7SK RNA
About the family: 7SK was discovered as an abundant small nuclear RNA in the mid-70s but a possible function has only recently been suggested. Two independent studies have found that 7SK RNA binds the CDK9/cyclin T complex (known as elongation factor P-TEFb). P-TEFb activates transcription by phosphorylating the C-terminal domain of RNA polymerase II.
Source: Ensembl
GGAUGUGAGAGCAAUCUAGCUGUGAUAUCUGUCACCCCGUUGAUCGACAGGGUUGAUGUUGCUUAUCUGGCUGGCUAGGCAUGUGUCUUCUUCCUCCCUCACCACUCCAAGAGGAUGAUCUUCCCUGGACAGAGACGGACCAGUCUUCAGUUGAGGGUAUACCAGUUGCUGUGUUACCCUGCUAGAACCUGCAAACAAGCUUUCAAGGCCCAUUAGUUAGAGUUAUUAUUAAGUAGCAGUCAUAUAUGAGUGAAAACUUCUGAGAAAAUGUGCUAGUAAAGUUUU